Long non-coding RNA from Ficedula albicollis (Collared flycatcher), 535 nucleotides. RefSeq lists it as uncharacterized. The record is from RefSeq and is a predicted model, not a curated record. The transcript is spliced from 3 exons. NCBI's taxonomy places the organism in Eukaryota, Metazoa, Chordata, Aves, Passeriformes, Muscicapidae.
GCUUGGGCAGCGUGAGGGGCCCCGGCAGCCGCGGCCCUCAGCGCGGUCAGCUGCCCGCCCGCGGGCUCGCCACACGCACCCUCCGGUCAGGGCCGCUGGGUCUCGUGCUGAACACAAACCCUGAAAGGAAGAAGGAGAGGAGGGAAAGGGGAACGUUGGUGCACAAAGCAGAGCAGCUUCAGUAGAAGGGUGUGAGAGCUCUCCUUCUCCAUGGCAGAGCAGCCCAGAGACCACACUGCAGAACUGUGACAACAUGGACCUGAAGCUCCUGAGAAAGAAGAUGCUGUGACCUUUCUAUGAUACCACAAUCACUAUGUGCAGUUACAGUAACAGCACAACUACUGGAAUGGGGGUCAUGUGCGCAGAGGAGAUCCAACACAGCCUGGGUGUGAGAGAGCCUGAAGAGACUGAUGUUCUGCAGCAGAGAUCAGGCCCCAUGUCUGGAAGUACUGGGAAGAGAUCAGCUGCUCCCAGGAAAGAAACAGCUUUGUCUCCUCUCAGUGAGCAUACUCCCAUGGAACCUGUUAAAAGUGGA